GUAUAAAAUGACCAUAAUUUGAAA
RNAcentral lists this small nuclear RNA (24 nucleotides) under Arabidopsis thaliana (thale cress). RNAcentral describes it as "snRNA_02907". The record is from RNAcentral. Lineage: Eukaryota; Viridiplantae; Streptophyta; Magnoliopsida; Brassicales; Brassicaceae.